GAUGAACGCUGGCGGCGUGCCUAAUACAUGCAAGUCGAGCGAACAGACGAGGAGCUUGCUCCUCUGACGUUAGCGGCGGACGGGUGAGUAACACGUGGAUAACCUACCUAUAAGACUGGGAUAACUUCGGGAAACCGGAGCUAAUACCGGAUAAUAUAUUGAACCGCAUGGUUCAAUAGUGAAAGACGGUUUUGCUGUCACUUAUAGAUGGAUCCGCGCCGCAUUAGCUAGUUGGUAAGGUAACGGCUUACCAAGGCAACGAUGCGUAGCCGACCUGAGAGGGUGAUCGCCCCCCCGGGACCUAAGACACGGUCCAACUCCUUAGGGGGGGCAGCAUUGGGAAAUCUUCGCAAUGGGCGAAAGCCUGACGGAGCAACGCCGCGUGAGUGAUGAAGGUCUUCGGAUCGUAAAACUCUGUUAUUAGGGAAGAACAAAUGUGUAAGUAACUAUGCACGUCUUGACGGUACCUAAUCAGAAAGCCACGGCUAACUACGUG
Molecule: ribosomal RNA, 496 nt
Filed under: uncultured bacterium
Lineage: Bacteria
Description: partial 16S ribosomal RNA
Rfam family: Bacterial small subunit ribosomal RNA
Source: RNAcentral